RNAcentral lists this long non-coding RNA (1231 nucleotides) under Anser brachyrhynchus (Pink-footed goose). Its description in RNAcentral is "lncRNA (ENSABRG00000012239.1)". The record is from RNAcentral. Lineage: Eukaryota; Metazoa; Chordata; Aves; Anseriformes; Anatidae.
GGCCACCGCACCCAGGGGACCCCACUGCCCGCUGCUGUGGGCCGGGCGGGCUGCUCAGGACCCUUUUACAAAACUUCCCCUCCCGCCCGGCCCCGCUGCUCCCUGCAGCACUGCAUCCCCUGGGCAGCAUCUGCUGGGUCUUCUGGGCACAGCCCCAGCCCCUCUGCCCCUGCCCUGGGGGGUGCCAGGGCUCAGCCACCGUCCCCGCACCCCGCCACGUUCCUGCCUGCUGCUCCACAGCUGCCAAGCACUGCCCUGGGGGGGGCUUUUCGGGUUGGUGGCCCCCCGCACCAGCUUCCCACGGGAACCCCGGGGCGAAGGAAAGCACCGGAGCGCGGGGGCAUCUGCGGUCACGGGGCACGUGGGCUGGGACGGGCGGGCAGCAGCUGCCCCUGCCUCGGCGCCCCGGUCAGCACGGCGUCCACCGCUUCGGGGGGGGGAGCACUGUGGGUGGUGGGGGCCCGUGCCCCUCGUUUCCAUGGGCAGAAAGGUUUUCCUUCUUCCCUCCUUCAGGUUCCCCGCUGUGCCUUGCUGUGUGUCCCGUCUGCUCCCAGCCCCUCGUUUCCUUCCCUCCUGCCCCUGGUGCCGGGGGGAGCCGCAGCAGGGGAGCCCCGGGGUCGCGGCGUCCCUGCGCCGCGCUGCUCGGUGCUGGGAUGCCCGUUUCUGGGGCAGCCCCACGCGUGCCCCCAUACGGGGCCACGUGCACGGAGCCGUGCUGCUGCUGGCAGCCCUGCGCCCCUGCACCCCCCCCCCGCCAGGGGAGCAGCACAGCCCCCCCAUGCUCUGCAGGGCGGGAUCCCAGCCCUGACCCCAUGCCGUCCCACAGCCCACGCUCUGUGCAUCCACGGGGCUGGGUCCCAGCCGUGCCCAGCCCUGUCCUGCCACGCACACACGCAGAAAUGCGUGCACGCACACGCAUGUUGCCCCCCCCCCCCCCCCACGCACACCCACGCACACCCACCCCUGACUUCCCCAGGAAGCCGCGGCCGUGCACGGCGCCUGCGCGCUGCUCGCAGGACCUCUGGUCCCCGGGGCCGCAUUGUCCCCAGGUCGGGUGCUGCCAGCUUCCUUCCCGGCCGCUCCCCUUCCCCUGCCCGCCCCGGCUGCCCGGGGCUGAGUCCCUGUCCCCGCUCCCGGGUCACCCGCCGCUGCCACCUCGCAGCGGGCUUUGCCCAAAAAGCCUCAGCCUUUUGCCGUCCCCUUUCCUGCAGCUGCCCUGCCCCGGCAGCAC